This is a long non-coding RNA of Gossypium raimondii (Peruvian cotton), 3069 nucleotides long. RefSeq lists it as uncharacterized. The transcript is spliced from 3 exons. Lineage: Eukaryota; Viridiplantae; Streptophyta; Magnoliopsida; Malvales; Malvaceae. The record is from RefSeq and is a predicted model, not a curated record.
CAUACGAAAACUAGAUGGGAUGGGGAAAAAGUUACCUGGUAGGGGAUCGGAGAUUGAGCGGUAGAGAAUACCAGAGUGGCCUAAUCUCAAAAUAAAUUUUGAUGUCACUUUUAACAAAUAAGAAAGCAGAUCCUGUUUGGGCAUUAUGAUAAGGGAUUCAAAUUGAGGGGCUCUAGGGUCUAAAACAGUGCCAAACAAUAACAUGCCUUUGGCGUUUGCAGCAAAACCUCUCGCAUGUGUUUAGGCGGUUCAAAUGUGAUUGGAAUUAGGUUUAUCGGUGGUGGAAGUUGAAGGCGAUGCACUGUCAGUAAUCAAUAAGAGUCAAAGUAAUGGGUUGGACAGAUCAGAAAUAGGUGCAUACAUAAAGGAUAUUCAACAAUUGAAGAGGGGCUUUCAAAGAUGUUGGUUUAAACAUACUCCAAGAAUGGACAAUAGGGUAGCACAUGCAUUAGCCACAUAAGGUUUGAAGAGAGGGGAACAUAUUUACCUAAGAAGUGAAGUGCCCGAAUAUAGUGUGUUCUUGCUAGAAAAUGACCGAAGAUAGGUAAGAACGCCGAACUGAGCUGCCUUUAGAGAAAUGGUUCAAGUUGGAUGAAGAGGCCAAAGAAAAAGGAGAGCUUAGAAAAGGAAGAAAAGUCAAAACUCCCUCAGGAACUGUAGGCUCCGUUCUUCUUUACGUUUUAAAUGGACUUUUGCGUUAAAAAGUCCUUUUCUCUUAAAAGGAACGAAGAACGGCCUCCAUUUUCUCAAAAAAAUCACCAUCUAAAAUGUGAUUUUCUCCAAAUGGAGAAGCUAAAAAUUUCACCAUCUAAAAAGCUUGAAGUGCUUUUGGCUGAUAAAUGACCAAAUUAACCUGUCUUCUCCCCCUUGGAAAAACGUUCUUUCCUCUGCUGUGAAAGUUCUAUACCCAUUUUUUUCACAUUUCGCUGUGAAAGCUCCUUCCUAUUCUUUGUUCCUUUUCCGCAGAAAUCAUGGAACAAAAGCUUGCUGCACAACAUGUGGAAAUGCAGAGACUUGGUACAGAAAACCAGAGAACAGCUGCUACCAAUGGGACAUUGAGACAGGAACUUGCUGCUGCACAGCAUAAGUUACAGAUCUUGCAUGCUCAGAUAGGAGCUGUAACAUCUGAAAGAGAACAACAAAUGACGAGCCUUACGGAUAAAAUAGCUAAGAUGGAAGCAGAACUGCAAGCAGCUGAGCCUGUUAAGGUAGAGUUGCAGCAAGCACACUCUGAUGCUCAGAAUUCAGUGUUCUCUUUAUGUUAUAAGCUGGACAUUAUUAUAAUAGAUUGUUCUUUCAAUUUUAAAAUUGUAUAAGCAAAAUGAAAUGGACUAGGAUACUGCAAAUGAGUAAUCACUUUGAUAAUAAGUAUUAUUUAAUGAAAUCUUCUACAUAUUCCUUAAAGUUUUUGUCAUUGAGUUUAAGUGGAUUAUAAGUUCAAUUGUAUUUAUUGUUCUAGAGGCUACACUAGGUAUCAACUUUAGCACGAUGACUUGUUUAAUUAUUGGUUAUAUUCUUAUUUCUUUUAAUGCUUGCAUGCUUUUGAUUACCAAUGCUUGCCCCUAGAGUGUUGUAUUCUUUGCUUUAUCUGACGAUGGGGCUGCUAAUUAAGGGCAGUUGUUUGAGGCUUUGAACAUCUCUACACUUUGGGACCUGCCUGCAAUUUUGGUCUGCGAGAAUAAUCAUUGUGAGCAAUUUGAAUUGGAAUGAAAUUUUAUUGGUCUAUUAAAUUUUUGUGGACUUUAUUUAUUUCAUGUAAAAGAUGGUAUGGGGACGACUGAGUGGAGAGCCGCAAAGAGUCCUACUUACUACAAACGUGGGGAUUAUGCUCCUGGUUUGAAGGUGGAUAGAAUGGAUGCUCUUGCUGUGAAGCAAGCUUUCACGUUUGCCAAAGAACAUGCUUUGAAGAAUGGACCAAUUGUAAGUUUAUUCAUCCUGCUAUUACCUGUUUUUCAUUUUUUUCUUUUUAAUAAUCUUUUAUUGUGCUUAUUUUCUGGCCAUUUUCCACAUGCGAAUACUUCCUUAUUUAAAGGUGUGAAUCUACCACAUCAACUUGAGAAAACUUUGGCUUUCUUCAUCACUCAUUUUAGUGUUUGUGUAAAUUGUGUUAUCUUCCUUAUGCCUAAAGCUGUUAGAGAAUCAAAUCCCCUGCUACAUGAUUGAUCAUGCUUGAACAAACUCCAUAAUUACAUGCUUAACCUUAUAAGUUAAUUCUACUAGUCACCUCUAAAAUUAGUAAACUCAUAGAAUAUGUUAUUGUUUCUCUUCUACACUAUGACUGAGAGAUACAUGCUUCAUUUUGAACUUUUUCUGAUUAAUCAAUAUUUGAUUUACAACAUUUGAGCACCAAGCGACAGAAUACAACACUUUGUUGGAAUAUUGUGCUUGUUUCAAACUAUUUUAUGCUUGUGGUACUGAAGACAUAGAUCUGAAAGAAAACCCGACGCUCUCCCUCCAAAGUGUUGAUGAAAUCAUGAAAAUAGUUGAAGAGGCCAAAGUUUCCCCUAGAGUAUCACGGCCUAUCAAAGGCUUUGGCUAGGGUGGAGAAGAAGAUGGGGAUGCAAAGGAAGAAGAUGCAAAGGAAGACGAAGAAGAAGACGAAGAAGAUGAGUAUGAGAAAACGAUAAAAGAGGUACAUGCCAGUGGAGAAAUUCACUUCUCUUAAGGAAAAAAGAGAGUAAUAUAUGGUUUCCAAAUGUUGGAGCUUUGGUGUCUUUUAGUGCUUACAUAUGUUCUUAUAAAUAUGAUGUCAGUUUUUCGCACUUGGACCUGGGUGUUGAAUAAACAACCUGUAAAUUAGUGUGUUUUGGACAAGUAGUUUGUGCAGUCUCUAAUAUGAUUUUGUAGGGUGUAUUGGUACUGAUUAGGUAGGUGGAAACUACAGGGAUUUGAACCCUGCCUAGUUGGUAAGUUGGGUAAAUGUAGUGGUCUACACUUUUUAGAGUAAAAUGGAAGAUCUGUCAUCUGUGAGUCCUAUAAGUUUGAUUUCUUCCAUCAUAAAGUGGUAUGUUAUGUCUAGAGUUGCGACUCCAUAAAAUUUAAGAAAUUACCAAUAUAAUUUUUAAGUAA